CCUACGGGAGGCAGCAGUGAGGAAUUUUGCGCAAUGGGGGAAACCCUGACGCAGCAACGCCGCGUGCGGGACGAAGGCCCUCGGGUCGUAAACCGCUUUCAGCCGGGAAGACCACGACGGUACCUGCAGAAGAAGCUCCGGCUCACUACGUGCCAGAAGCCGCGGUAAUACGUAGGGGGCGAGCGUUAUCCGGAUGCAUUGGGCGUAAAGCGCGCGUAGGCGGCCGCCUAAGCGGAACCUCUAACCCCGGGGCUCAACCGCGGGUCGGGUUCCGGACUGGGCGGCCCGAGUGCGGUAGAGGAGAGCGGAAUUCCCGGUGUAGCGGUGGAAUGCGCAGAUAUCGGGAAGAACACCGAUGGCGAAGGCAGCUCUCUGGGCCGUCACUGACGCUGAGGCGCGAAAGCUGGGGGAGCGAACAGGAUUAGAUACCCGAGUAGUC
RNAcentral lists this ribosomal RNA (439 nucleotides) under uncultured bacterium. RNAcentral's name for it is "partial 16S ribosomal RNA". It matches the Rfam family "Bacterial small subunit ribosomal RNA", at positions 338 to 795 of the family's 1533-position model. The record is from RNAcentral.